GUCCCUUUCAUGGCGCCCUUCCCUCCUCCCUCUUCUUCUUCCUCAAGCAAGCAGGCCGACCUCCCCUCCUCUGCCAUUUCCCUGCUCCUCACUCCAUGGCCAGCAGAGGACAGCGGCUCCCCUCUCCCAGCUCGGCCUCGCCAUCACACAGGGAAGGGCUGGCGCCCAGAAAAUUCCAUCUAAGCGCCCCACUGUUGAAGUCCCAUUGGCCGACCUCCACUUUCCUGCUCCAUGGCCGCUGAUACACCCAGCCCAGGUGGGGUUGGCCGAGGCCCAACAAAUUAGGGUUGCCCGGAGCCCAACAGUUCAUUAAGCACACCCAACUUAGGGAAAGGCCCAA
This 340-nucleotide unclassified non-coding RNA is filed under the name Zea mays. RNAcentral describes it as "misc RNA Zm00001eb087330". Lineage: Eukaryota; Viridiplantae; Streptophyta; Magnoliopsida; Poales; Poaceae. The record is from RNAcentral.